This is a transfer RNA of Candida tropicalis MYA-3404, 74 nucleotides long. It matches the Rfam family "tRNA". Rfam says of the family: Transfer RNA (tRNA) molecules are approximately 80 nucleotides in length. Their secondary structure includes four short double-helical elements and three loops (D, anti-codon, and T loops). Lineage: Eukaryota; Fungi; Ascomycota; Pichiomycetes; Serinales; Debaryomycetaceae. The record is from Rfam.
GGGCGUGUGGCGUAGUUUGGUAGCGCGUUCCCUUAGCAUGGGAAAGGUCAUGAGUUCGACUCUUAUCUCGUCCA